ACGGCCCCUAGAGGCACUGCAGGUGUGGUGCUGUGUCACCUGUGUGGCGGAAGGUGGCCGAGAGGAGAGAGGCUCUGUCUACACCCCGUGUUCUGACCUGGGAACACCUGAAUGAUUAGAUUAGUAGCCUAUCGAU
Molecule: small nucleolar RNA, 136 nt
Filed under: Meriones unguiculatus (Mongolian gerbil)
Lineage: Eukaryota; Metazoa; Chordata; Mammalia; Rodentia; Muridae
Description: Small nucleolar RNA SNORA17 (ENSMUGG00000004851.1)
Rfam family: Small nucleolar RNA SNORA17
About the family: snoRNA ACA 17 belongs to the H/ACA family of snoRNAs and is predicted to guide pseudouridylation of the 28S rRNA at positions U4659 and U4598. It shares the same host gene together with ACA43.
Source: RNAcentral